AUUCCCCUAGUAACGGCGAGUGAAGCGGGAAGAGCUCAAAUUUGUAAUCUGGCACUUUCAGUGUCCGAGUUGUAAUCUCGAGAAGUGUUUUCCGCGCUGGACCGCAUACAAGUCUGUUGGAAUACAGCGUCAUAGUGGUGAGAACCCCGUAACUGAUGCGGAUGCCCAGUGCUUUGUGAUACACUUUCGAAGAGUCGAGUUGUUUGGGAAUGCAGCUCAAAUUGGGUGGUAAAUUCCAUCUAAAGCUAAAUAUUGGCGAGAGACCGAUAGCGAACAAGUACCGUGAGGGAAAGAUGAAAAGCACCUUGGAAAGGGAGUUAACAGUACGUGAAAUUGUUGGAAGGGAAACGCUUGAAGUCAGACUUGCUAUUCGGAUUUAUUCGAUUCGCAGGCCAGCAUCAGUUUUCGGGGGUGGAAAAGGGUUUGGAGAAGGUAGCAACUCCGGUUGUGUUAUAGCUCCUUGCUGGAUUCAUCCUUGGGGACUGAGGAACGCAGCGCGCUUUUUGCAAGGCUCUCGAGCUUUUCGCGCUUAGGAUGCUGGUGGAAUGGCUUUAAACGACCCGUCUUGAAACACGGACCA
This 580-nucleotide ribosomal RNA is filed under the name Oberwinklerozyma sp. RNAcentral's name for it is "LSU rRNA". It matches the Rfam family "Eukaryotic large subunit ribosomal RNA", at positions 74 to 668 of the family's 3401-position model. The record is from RNAcentral. Lineage: Eukaryota; Fungi; Basidiomycota; Microbotryomycetes; Chrysozymaceae.